This 445-nucleotide ribosomal RNA is filed under the name uncultured bacterium. Its description in RNAcentral is "bacterial SSU rRNA". It matches the Rfam family "Bacterial small subunit ribosomal RNA", at positions 29 to 522 of the family's 1533-position model. The record is from RNAcentral.
AGCGAACGCUGGCGGCAGGCCUAACACAUGCAAGUCGAACGGACCCUUCGGGGUUAGUGGCGGACGGGUGAGUAACACGUGGGAACGUGCCCUUUGGUACGGAACAACUCAGGGAAACUUGAGCUAAUACCGUAUAAGCCCUACUGGGGAAAGAUUUAUCGCCAUUGGAGCGGCCCGCGUCUGAUUAGCUAGUUGGUGAGGUAAAGGCUCACCAAGGCUACGAUCAGUAGCUGGUCUGAGAGGANGAUCAGCCACAUUGGGACUGAGACACGGCCCAAACUCCUACGGGAGGCUGCAGUAACGAAUCUUCCGCAAUGCACGCAAGUGUGACGGAGCGACGCCGCGUGUGGGACGAAGCCCUUCGGGUGUAACCACUGUCAGGGAUAGAAAGUUCUGAUCGUCCCCAGAGGAAGGCACGGCUAACUCUGUGCCAGCAGCCGCCGCU